GGGCCUAUAGCUCAGCCGGUUAGAGCGCACGCCUGAUAAGCGUGAGGUCGAUGGUUCGAGUCCAUCUAGGCCCACCA
RNAcentral lists this transfer RNA (77 nucleotides) under Syntrophomonas zehnderi OL-4. RNAcentral's name for it is "tRNA-Ile". It matches the Rfam family "tRNA". From Rfam's summary of the family: Transfer RNA (tRNA) molecules are approximately 80 nucleotides in length. Their secondary structure includes four short double-helical elements and three loops (D, anti-codon, and T loops). Lineage: Bacteria; Bacillati; Bacillota; Clostridia; Eubacteriales; Syntrophomonadaceae. The record is from RNAcentral.